This 518-nucleotide ribosomal RNA is filed under the name uncultured bacterium. RNAcentral describes it as "bacterial SSU rRNA". It matches the Rfam family "Bacterial small subunit ribosomal RNA", at positions 19 to 518 of the family's 1533-position model. The record is from RNAcentral.
CUGGCUCAGAACGAACGCUGGCGGCGUGCUUAACACAUGCAAGUCGAACGCGAAAGGGACUUCGGUCCUGAGUAAAGUGGCGCACGGGUGAGUAACGCGUAGAUAACCUGUCUUCAUGUCUGGAAUAAUACGCCAAAGGGGUACUAAUACCGGAUAUUCUUGCUUUUCAUAAGUUAUGCAAGCAAAGGUGGCCUCUGCAUAUGCUACUGCAUGAAGAGGGGUCUGCGUACCAUUAGCUAGUAGGUGGGGUAAUGGCCUACCUAGGCGACGAUGGUUAGCGGGUCUGAGAGGAUGAUCCGCCACACUGGCACUGGAACACGGGCCAGACUCCUACGGGAGGCAGCAGUGAGGAAUAUUGCGCAAUGGGGGAAACCCUGACGCAGCGACGCCGCGUGAGUGAGGAAGGCCUUCGGGUCGUAAAGCUCUGUCAAGAGGAAAGAAGUGUACAAUGGCUAAUACCUGUUGUAUUUGACGGUACCUCUAAAGGAAGCACCGGCUAACUCCGUGCCAGCCGCGGC